Molecule: ribosomal RNA, 301 nt
Filed under: uncultured bacterium
Lineage: Bacteria
Description: partial 16S ribosomal RNA
Rfam family: Bacterial small subunit ribosomal RNA
Source: RNAcentral
CAGCCGCCGCGGGAAUACGAAGGGGGCUAGCGUUGUUCGGAUUUACUGGGCGUAAAGCGCACGUAGGCGGAUCGAUCAGUCAGGGGUGAAAUCCCAGAGCUCAACCCUGGAACUGCCUUUGAUACUGUCGAUCUGGAGUAUGGAAGAGGUGAGUGGAAUUCCGAGUGUAGAGGUGAAAUUCGUAGAUAUUCGGAGGAACACCAGUGGCGAAGGCGGCUCACUGGUCCAUUACUGACGCUGAGGUGCGAAAGCGUGGGGAGCAAACAGGAUUAGAUACCCCUGUAGUCCCUGUCUCUUAUAC